GCUGGAUCCCCUCCUUUCUAGGGAGCCUCAAGCCGGUCCUCGUGGCCGGCUCGGCAACCAAGUCAACGACGGUCCAGGCGAGCGCGCAUCGCGCGCGGCGCCACUCGAGCUCGAAUCCCGGGUUCUCCCGGUAACUCGUUCGAUCGGGGAGUUCGACGACCGUUCGCCGUCUUCGUCACACACGCUAUUCAGUUUUUGGAGACCGGGACGAAGUCUCGUCCGGCCGGGAGGUCGGCCAGAGAUUCGGACCCCGACCUCGACGCUCGAAGGGGCCAGUUCGACGCCAAUCGGAUCGUCCGAGGGCCUGUAGCUCAGUUGGUUAGAGCGUCCGCCUGAUAAGCGGGAGGUCGGUGGUUCAAAUCCACCCAGGCCCACCACCCCCCUCCGGCCCGAACCCUGCGCUCCCCGCGGAGCGCUUGCUUUCUGGGGCUGUAGCUCAGCUGGGAGAGCGCGGGCUUUGCAAGCCUGAGGUCGUCGGUUCGAUCCCGUCCAGCUCCACCAUCUUGCACCGUCCGGAAGGCCCCCUGGCCUCCGGCGGACCGCUCCUCGAGAGCGGCCGGCUCUACACAGGCCGGAUGCGGUCGAUCCUCAGGAUCGGCGGUCUUUGAUAACCGAAUAGUUUUCCGAGUCUGGAGUGCCGAGGCGUACGAGAGCGUGUCUGCUGGGAGCUCGUCUCCCGGGAGACAUUGCCCGCGUGCGUAUCGAGACAGAGGCUUAUGGUCAAGCUGUUAAGGGCAGACGGUGAAUGCCUUGGCGGCAGGAGGCGAUGAAGGACGUGGUUAGCUGCGAUAAGCGUCGGGGAGCUGCUAAACGAGCUUUGAUCCGGCGAUUUCCGAAUGGGGAAACCCGGAAGC
Molecule: unclassified non-coding RNA, 854 nt
Filed under: uncultured bacterium
Lineage: Bacteria
Description: partial contains 16S ribosomal RNA, 16S-23S ribosomal RNA intergenic spacer, and 23S ribosomal RNA
Rfam family: Bacterial large subunit ribosomal RNA (bases 719-854)
Source: RNAcentral